UCACUUUCUCUCCUCUACCUGCAAAUCAUUUCUUUGUUUCUUCACUCUCUCUCUCUCUCUCUGUUCAACAAAUUUCACUUUUCUGAUCAAACUUUCCGCUGAAUUAAGCCCUAAGAUCGAGACCCACAUCGAUCAAAAACCCUAAUCGAGAUCGAUCAAAAACCCUAAUCGAGAUCGAUCAAUCAUGAAGCAGAAGCGGGCCUUUGCUAUGGUUUCGUCAUCGUCGUCUACCGUGAAACCCUUACGCUUCCCUGAAGAAGAAGAAUCAGUCCGGUGUUGGGAGAGCGAAACGGCGUCGUCAAACAGAACCCGACCCCAAAUCCAAUCCAGAUCAAGAAGAGGAUCGAAAACAAGAAACAUCAAUGAUGUCUUAAAAGAUGAAAGAUCCAAGAUUUCUGGGAUCAACCGGAUUUUGGGGACACCCAUUCCCGUGAGCAAUAACCUGACUUGGAGGCUUUUGAAAUCUCACAUGCGAAUUGAAUCUUUUUACUGCACCAAGCUCCACUCCGCUCUCAAUGCCAUCCACGAGUGUUUCGAGCCUUCCAAAGACCCCUACACCAACAGAGACAUUGCUGAGGACAUUGUCUUCGACUUGGAAUCCGAUUCCGAGUUGAAUUUGAGAGGGUUUUACACUGUGGUUUUGGAGAGGAGAGAUGAUGAUGAUGGUCAUCAGGAGAUGAUCGGUGCCGCCACGGUGAGGAUCAAUAAGGGAGUGGCUGAAGUGCCACUCGUGGCGACUAGGCCUCAGUUUAGGAGACUCGGUAUGUGCAGGAUUUUGAUGAAUGAGCUUGAAAAUCGGCUCAUGGAAUUUGGCAUUGAGAGAUAGUAUAACCUGAUAUGUGCUUUGGCGGAAUGUGUUCAUGAAUCUUUGUAGAAUUAACAUUCACAAUGAUAGUGUAACAUGAUAUCUCUUUUGGCAGAAUGUGUUCAUGAAGUCUUUGUAGAAUUGACACUCACAAUGGUAGGGAUGUUGCGUAUAUGUUCCAUUGAACCCAUAUUUUGAACAAGAAUGUGAGCAAGUCCUUUUUAUGUUCAUUGGACACUCGGAUUUGAGAUAUUUUGUGACAUGCCACCGUUCAUGCUUAAUGCUGCAUUACUUUCACAUCAUUUCUGAUAGACCAUUGACACAGUACUACCUUAGGUUCACUUACCAAAAGCUAGUCUGUAAGAGUCUGCUUUACAUCUUAGUACUUAAAACAGCACUUACUAGAAAACAAUAGAAACCUUUGUUUUCACAAAUUGAUAAGCUGUAGUUCGUUUCGGUUAAAUAGAUCAAUCCCUUUGGUUCUUUGAGUCAAAAAUCCAACUCUUUUCUUAGUAGAUAUGAGAUUUUGUAGUGGAUUUUAGUGGUUUUAUUUUGUUAUUUUAUUUUUUUGUUCUUGAAAGUUCAGUGCUCAAUAAUUCCUCUGAAUUUGCCCUGUUUAAUUAGUGUUUGGACUCCUUAGUGUUUUAGUUUUCCUCUUUAUAUAGUAAAUCCAAAACAAAAAAACAAAAGGCCCAUUUGGUGGAUUUUACUAAUGAUGUUAUUAAUUACAUGAUGCUACUGACAUGGUGAUUGCAAUCAUGUAAUUACUUAACCUGUUUAUGGGCAUGUUCAUUUGAGUAAGUGCAUGCCCUUAUUUCAACAUGCACCCUGUCAAAGCAACACCAAUAAUGUUGCUACUGUCAUCAUAGGUGUAUUAAGUCUGUCCGUUGUAGAUUUUGAGCCCUUGUUGUCAUUUGAUAAAUUGUGUUGUCAGAAUGUGCAAAAGUGAAUUGGUAGGCGUUUUGUAAGUGACCUCUGAAAGUUAAAAAACUAUUGAGUAAAUAGUGAUACAUGAGUUCUUGAAAAUCAUAUGUUCAAAUGAAUGUUACCCGGGCUUCAAUCUUGGGCAUAUUCAGUGCACGGAUUCAGAUAUUGAGGUAUAUAUUAUUUGUUAAUCUGCAGGAAUUGACUCCUAAUAGCUUGAAGAAAGUCAGCAUCAUGGGUACGUCCUAAAUUUAGAAUACUGUAAACUUCAGAUCUUUUGGUUCCUAAGCGUUCUGUCCUUUAUUUUCAUCGAGUUUGCCACCCACAUUUUACGAGUGAAGCUAUCAUGUACCAAUUUGUUGUCAUGUCCCAAUUUGUUGUGUAGCUUGUGAAGAGAUGGGAUGUAAUAAUGUAGGAUCAUGGGAAGCAACUGCUGUUGGUUAGCUUGCCUAAUUCUAGUGUUUUCUAUCCUGACUCUCUUUAUCUUAAUGUUGUGUAUUAGACUCUUAGAUCACUGACUUAAAUUUAUUAUGUUAUUUGCUGAAUUAUAGCUAGAGUUCCUCAGUCUCAGCUUACGUUUUCUUACCGUUCUUAAACCUCUCUUGUUUUCAAUCUUGACAGGAUAUAUAAAAUCCUUGUAAGCAUAAGAGCUGCCUUCAAGCCUUCUGGAUGUCUUGUCAGGUUAUAUCUCUGCUGUCGUGCAAAGGGCUUUACUGUUGAGGAUUAACUUGUUUACUGUUGAGCAUUAACUACGUGUAUUUAUAUAAGCUCUAUGCGCGUUUGUGUUCCCCAAAUUCUUGAACAUUACGGACAUUCUUUGGAUGCUGCUUGAUUCCUUGAUGAAUUUCAAUAUUGUAAAUGUUUUGUUCUAGUUGAAGAGUG
Molecule: RNA transcript, 2611 nt
Organism: Rosa chinensis
Lineage: Eukaryota; Viridiplantae; Streptophyta; Magnoliopsida; Rosales; Rosaceae
Gene name: increased DNA methylation 1
Exons: 3
Source: RefSeq, a predicted model, not a curated record